AGCGAACGCUGGCGGUAGGCCUAACACAUGCAAGUCGAACGGCAGCACAGUAAGAGCUUGCUCUUACGGGUGGCGAGUGGCGGACGGGUGAGGAAUACAUCGGAAUCUACUUUUUCGUGGGGGAUAACGUCGGGAAACUUCCGCUAAUACCGCAUACGACCUACGGGUGAAAGCAGGGGAUCUUCGGACCUUGCGCGAUUGAAUGAGCCGAUGUAGGAUUAGCUAGUUGGCGGGGUAAAGGCCCACCAAGGCGACGAUCCGUAGCUGGUCUGAGAGGAUGAUCAGCCACACUGGAACAGAGACACGUUCCAGACUCCGACGGGAGGCAGCAGUGGGGAAUAUUGGACGAUGGGCGCGAGCCUGAUCCAGCCAUACCGCGUGGGUGAAGAAGGCCUUCGGGUUGUAAAGCCCUUUUGGUGGGAAAGAAAAGCAGCAGGUUAAUACCCCGCUGUUCUGACGGUACCCAAAGAAUAAGCACCGGCUAACUUCGUG
RNAcentral lists this ribosomal RNA (492 nucleotides) under uncultured bacterium. RNAcentral describes it as "partial 16S ribosomal RNA". It matches the Rfam family "Bacterial small subunit ribosomal RNA", at positions 29 to 507 of the family's 1533-position model. The record is from RNAcentral.